AUUGGGGUUGUUAUGGGACCCCCCUUGAUAAUUCGUUUUAGAUUAAGACUGGUCUGGCAAGGCCCAACUUUAUUACUACAUUUGCCUAAUAACCUAAUAGUAAUGCAUACGGACCCGCCGACACCCGCGGAUAAUUAAUCAACCCCCCGGGCGAGUGCUCCGCAUGAGUGUUGGUCCAAACUGGCAGACUACGGGGCCACCGCGGGGCAACCCAAGGUUUGGUUUCUCCUGCUGUGACCCAUCCGUCGUGUCCUGAGAACGAGAUACGCGGCUCCUAUCGGGUUCGUCGACACGUCGGGCGGCCUUGCUGGAUUAGUGUUACCUUUGACGAAAUAUCUUGCAUUGGGAUUCCGGUGAUGCUUUGGGUAAUCUCAGAGUUGAGGUUUUCCACUAAGGAAUUUGACGUGAUCGCGAGUUUUGUGAUCGAUUAUUUCUAUGCGGCUUGUGGUAAUUUGUGAUGGACUAGUUGGAGCACCCCUGCAAGGUUAAAUCUUUUCGGAAAGCUUUGCCCGCGGUAAUGUGGCAACGUGGAAACUUUGUUUAACACUGGUUCUAGAUAACUUGAAGUUAACUUAAUUAAAAUAUGCCAACUGAGUGCGUAACCGUGACUGUCUCUUUCGUGAGUUCCUUCUCCGGUCGAGGACACGGUGGGGUUAUGUUUGACGUAAGUAGGUGUUCAGGAUCAUUCAUUUGAUCACCAGUAGUUCACGUCUGCUAUGCGUAGAUCUUCCUCCUCUUUAUUCUUGUACUCGUAAGUUAGCCACUAAAUAAAUGCUUAGUCGCGUGCUGCAGCCUCACCACUUAACCUUACCUCAACCAUUAAGCUUUGCUAGUCUUGAUACCUUUGGAAAUGUGAUUGCCGAGUCCCCUGUGGCUCACGGAUUACUACAACACCAGUUGCAGGUACAGGUAAAGGUUACUUGACGCGAGCGCAUUGAUUGUUCAUUUGGAGUUUCUUCUUCUACUUCAUCGAUCUAGGAUGGGUUCCAGGCCGGCAGCCUGAUAUAGCAAGGAUGGACGUCAUUAUUUUCUCGUUUGUUUUCGCCCAUAGUCGGACCCUGCUCUUCUUCUUGAUAUUUAUGUAUUGUACUGAUGUGACUCUGAUGUAGUUUGUGGCGAGUGUAAGCCAAUUCCAUGUAUCUCAUCUUAUCAGUACAUGUACUCGUAACGAUAUCCAUUCUUGCGAAAUGACGAGAUGCGCU
Molecule: long non-coding RNA, 1202 nt
Filed under: Hordeum vulgare
Lineage: Eukaryota; Viridiplantae; Streptophyta; Magnoliopsida; Poales; Poaceae
Description: long non-coding RNA (HVUL_LNC012433)
Source: RNAcentral